This is a long non-coding RNA of Eutrema salsugineum, 814 nucleotides long. RefSeq lists it as uncharacterized. The record is from RefSeq and is a predicted model, not a curated record. NCBI's taxonomy places the organism in Eukaryota, Viridiplantae, Streptophyta, Magnoliopsida, Brassicales, Brassicaceae. The transcript is spliced from 2 exons.
UUGGUUAAACGGAGCUUUUUACGCCGCCGGCCGCCGGAUUUGUUAUCUUCUUCGUUGACAUGUGGUGUUGCACCGAUCAUGAUCCACUCACGAUCUUCCUCCAUCUUUGGAGUUUGGUUUAUGUCUAAAUCUCUCACCAUAUGAAGGAGAUGGAGAGAAGCUUGGAAUUGAUAUUGUUAAUUCUAAAGAGCUUGAAUUAGGUGAGACUGCCAUAGAGGAAAAAGGAAUCAACAGAAUUUGACGAAGAAGAUAGUUUUUUUUUGGGAGAAAACUGAAAAGGUAAAGUUGAAGUUAUAUGUGAUUAUAGAAAUGUGAGUGUGCAUAUGUAUAUACUAUAUACACUGUGUACACAUGUGAAAGUACAAAAGGAAAAAAAUAGCCAGACAAUGGAGAAAGAUUUUGUGAUAAGCGUGGAAUAUGGAAUAAGGAAUUAAACCUGAUGGAAAUAUCAACAACUAUCAAGAAAAAUAGUCUUCAAAAUACGACAAAAGAUAAAAGUUUCAAGCAGGUCAAAUGAAGGAACAAAAAUUAAGGGAGGAAUAAAUGGCAGUGUAAGUUGAGCGAAUAAAAAAAGGAAGAAUAAUAGAAUUAAAUGAAGAGGUGUGUAUACGUGUGAUUGGUGUGCCUUUGGAGAGAAAGAAGGGGUUUGACUAGUGUCGUUAAGUCAAAUCAUAUUCGUAUGAAAUAAGAUCAAUUAUUACGUGUUUUAUCAGUUUUUCGGAGUUAUUAAAUUCAUUAUGGCCUUGUGUAGGACAAUAACGGGUAGCCAAAUUGUUGUUAUUCGUUGAGCGUUACAUAUGACAUCAUCUUUUUU